GGCUUGAUGGUGUAGUUGGUUAUCACGUCAGUCUAACAUCCACGGAUGGUUCACUGAAGGUCGGGAGAUCGAGCCUCCCUCGAGUCA
RNAcentral lists this transfer RNA (87 nucleotides) under Plectosphaerella plurivora. Its description in RNAcentral is "tRNA-Val". The record is from RNAcentral. Lineage: Eukaryota; Fungi; Ascomycota; Sordariomycetes; Glomerellales; Plectosphaerellaceae.